GCCCGUAGCAGAGGACAUAUCAUAAGCGGAGGAGCAUAUCAAUAAGCGGAGGAGCAUAUCAAUAAGCGGAGGAGCAUAUCAAUAAGCGGAGGAGCAUAUCAAUAAGCGGAGGAACAUAUCAAUAAGCGGAGGAACAUAUCAAUAAGCGGAGGAGCAUAUCAAUAGGCGGAGGGACAUUUAAAUAAGCGGAGGAACCUAUCAAUAGGCGGAGGAAUUUUUCAUUGCGGAGAGGAACGUAUCAUCAAUUCUUUGACGCACCUUGCGCUCCAUGGGAUUCCGUGGACCAUGCCUGUUUGAGUGUCAUGAGUACUUCAACCCUCCUCUUUCUUUAUGAUCAAAGAAGUGUUUGGAUUCUGAUCGUUUUGCUGGCCAAACGGUCGAGCUCGCUCGUAAUGCAUUAGCAUCCGCAAUCUAGCUUCGGAUUGACUUGGCGUAAUAGACUUUUCCCUGAGGAAUUCUAGUCUUCUGACUAUAGCCGGGUUGGAUUAAAGGAAGCUUCUACUCCUAAUGUCU
RNAcentral lists this ribosomal RNA (513 nucleotides) under Microbotryomycetes sp. Y38H8b15epi. RNAcentral describes it as "eukaryotic LSU rRNA". Lineage: Eukaryota; Fungi; Basidiomycota; Microbotryomycetes. The record is from RNAcentral.